Molecule: ribosomal RNA, 221 nt
Filed under: uncultured bacterium
Lineage: Bacteria
Description: partial 16S ribosomal RNA
Rfam family: Bacterial small subunit ribosomal RNA
Source: RNAcentral
AGUAAUGCUUGGGAAUCUAGCUUAUGGAGGGGGGUAACUACGGGAAACUGUGCUAAUACCGCGUAGAAUCGAGAGAUGAAAGUGUGGGACCUUCGGGCCACAUGCCAUAGGAUGAGCCCAAGUGGGAUUAGGUAGUUGGUGAGGUAAAGGCUCACCAAGCCGACGAUCUCUAGCUGGUCUGAGAGGAUGACCAGCCACACUGGGACUGAGACACGGCCCAG